This 779-nucleotide long non-coding RNA is filed under the name Helianthus annuus (common sunflower). Its description in RNAcentral is "sRNA HanXRQr2_Chr01g0018521". The record is from RNAcentral. Lineage: Eukaryota; Viridiplantae; Streptophyta; Magnoliopsida; Asterales; Asteraceae.
AAACAAAAUAAUAAAGUUAAAUAAGGUAUACAAUAACUAAAUAAGGGAAUGGCUUAAGAAAAUUAUAGUUUAGAUUAUCAUCAUCGAUCCUUUCCAAUUUACCAAACAAAUUUUCACCGACCUUCUUCUUCUCAAAACUUGACUGGCUUAUAUUGCGGGAUUUCGUAUUCCUUUCACACGGUGGAUUAUCCCUAUUAAUCGAUCUCAUUCGGUGGUAUCAUUCCUUACUCAACGCUUCCAAAAGCCAACCCACAUCUCCCUUAAACCUUUCUUUUAAUUUUCAAGUGCGCAGACGAAAACGUCGCUGCCGACCACCAGUCUGAACCGACCAAACCUGCUUGUUACGCCUGCGGUUCGUGUGUUGAACGGUACAAAAGACCGCUGAGCACCACUACCACGUUGAUCGGUCGUUCGUUCGUUGUACACUCGGAAGCGCAAUAUCUUCGAUCCAUCACCAUACCAUCGACUAGUGGUGAUCUAAAGAUCUGUGGCGAACCUACAUUGCACCACGCCGGUCGUCUUUUCUCUUCGACAUAAGGACUCUGUUUCAAGUGAGAACUUGUUGCGUCUACAUUGUUACAUUUAAGCUAAGUGGCUCACAUGGAUGCCUCCUCGUCGUGAGACACGCAACUCUGGUCGUCGUAAUGGUGGUGGACCAAAUGAGCCUGAUCCAAAUAUCGUAGCUGCUAUCACUCAGGCCUUUACUGCUAUGUUGCCUGCACUUGUUCAGGCCGUACGUGGUCCUGAUCCGAAUCCUAAUCCGAACCCUAAUCCCAAUC